Molecule: small RNA, 127 nt
Filed under: Marmota monax (woodchuck)
Lineage: Eukaryota; Metazoa; Chordata; Mammalia; Rodentia; Sciuridae
Source: RNAcentral
GCUGGGUGCCGGGGUGCAUGUCUGUCAUCCCAGCAGCUCUGGAGGCUGAGGCAGGAGGAUUACGAGUUCAAAGCCAGCCUCAGCCACUUAGUGAGGCCCUGAGCAACUCAGUGAGACCCUGUCUCUA